Molecule: ribosomal RNA, 481 nt
Filed under: uncultured bacterium
Lineage: Bacteria
Description: partial 16S ribosomal RNA
Rfam family: Bacterial small subunit ribosomal RNA
Source: RNAcentral
UUGCACGCUGGCGGCAUGCUUUACACAUGCAAGUCGAACGGUAACAGGCCGCAAGGUGCUGACGAGUGGCGAACGGGUGAGUAAUGCAUCGGAACGUGCCCAGCCGUGGGGGAUAACUACUCGAAAGAGUAGCUAAUACCGCAUACGAUCUAUGGAUGAAAGCGGGGGACCGUAAGGCCUCGCGCGAUUGGAGCGGCCGAUGUCAGAUUAGGUAGUUGGUGGGGUAAAGGCUCACCAAGCCAACGAUCUGUAGCUGGUCUGAGAGGACGACCAGCCACACUGGGACUGAGACACGGCCCAGACUCCUACGGGAGGCAGCAGUGGGGAAUUUUGGACAAUGGGCGCAAGCCUGAUCCAGCAAUGCCGCGUGCAGGAAGAAGGCCUUCGGGUUGUAAACUGCUUUUGUACGGAACGAAACGGCUCUGGUUAAUACCCGGGGCUAAUGACGGUACCGUAAGAAUAAGCACCGGCUAACUACGUG